This 168-nucleotide microRNA precursor is filed under the name Pelobates cultripes (western spadefoot toad). The record is from RNAcentral. Lineage: Eukaryota; Metazoa; Chordata; Amphibia; Anura; Pelobatidae.
GCAGACACAUUCCAGCCAAUCAGCAGCAGACCCUCCCUCCCAGACCCUCCCAUCUCCUGGACAGCUCAAUAAGAAUGCAGCUUCACAAUGAAUGUAAAAUGGAUGCUGUCCAGGAGGUGGGAGGGUCUGGGAGGGAGGGUCUGCUGCUGAUUGGCUGGAAUGUGUCUG